CCUACGGGAGGCAGCAGUGGGGAAUUUUGGACAAUGGGCGAAAGCCUGAUCCAGCAAUGCCGCGUGCAGGAUGAAGGCCUUCGGGUUGUAAACUGCUUUUGUACGGAACGAAACGGUUCGCCUUAAUAUGGUGGGCUAAUGACGGUACCGUAAGAAUAAGCACCG
Molecule: ribosomal RNA, 165 nt
Filed under: uncultured bacterium
Lineage: Bacteria
Description: partial 16S ribosomal RNA
Rfam family: Bacterial small subunit ribosomal RNA
Source: RNAcentral